GAGAUGUAAAGUUUAAGAAAAGGCUUCUAACCUUAAUCUUAGGUGGUUAGAUUCCAUCUACAUCUCU
RNAcentral lists this transfer RNA (67 nucleotides) under Laomedia healyi. RNAcentral describes it as "tRNA-Ser". The record is from RNAcentral. Lineage: Eukaryota; Metazoa; Arthropoda; Malacostraca; Decapoda; Laomediidae.